Molecule: non-coding RNA, 1106 nt
Organism: Phalacrocorax carbo (great cormorant)
Lineage: Eukaryota; Metazoa; Chordata; Aves; Suliformes; Phalacrocoracidae
Source: RefSeq, a predicted model, not a curated record
UAGGGCAAGGGGGCACUGCGGGUUGUUCCGGGGGAGGUGAGGGGGCAGUGGAGCUUUCUGUGGUUUGCAAUUUUAAAAGCAAGGCAAGCGUGUCUGGUAAAGCACCUGAAAAACAAGGUAGCAGAGAGUUCACCAGGAAAAGAAUUGUGGAAAGACAGACAAGUGUACCAGUAAUCUGGAUGAAAGCCCUGCGUACUUCGGUGGCAGGAAUAACUGCUGGAGAAGGUUGUCUCUGCAAAAUUUCCCUCGGUGAUGAUAAUAUGUGCCAUAAUGGAUUACGCACAGUCCAAAACAUUUUGUCAGACAGACUUAAAAAGGAGCUGAAGUUUCUGCUGCUGAGGCCACAGGAUAAAGAGCUUUGGCAUGAUCGACUCCUGGCUGUUUCUAAUGUAAGAAUGUAUAACAAGUUUCAGUUUUAUUUUGCAUGCAUUUUUCCCUUUCCUUGGCAAUGGGCUUUUCUAAAUACUUGUGAAAGAAAUAUUUGUUUUAGAAAGCUGCAGCACAGAGAAGCUUGAAAAUGUUGCCACAGUUCAUAAACUAUGUCAGCCCAGGCAGAAAUACAAUUUAAGAAACUUGAUCUCUAAACCUUUGCCUUAGCCAUUACAGUCUGAGCUUUCCUAAUGUUGUAUUAGAUUGCUUAUUUACAGUCUAAUUUUUUUUGUCAGAAAAAUAAGAACGGUCCUUCGCUAGCAAUACAAGGGCAGUUAUUGCCACACAUUUAUAGGUACAGUAGAAGAAAAAAAUUGAUUUGUUUCACAUUCCUGUUAAAAUGUUAGUUUGUAACAUCUACCCAAUAAAAUAUCAGUGCAGCUACCUACUCAUAUCAAUCAUUAGAAAACAUUGUAAUUCUGAAAGGCUGGCUUAUUUUGAUGUUCCCCUUCAUGAUAAAUAUUCUUGUAUAUUAAUAAAAAACAACCCAACAUAAUAAACAAAAAACAACCCCCUACAUUUUUCCAUGUACCUUUUAUUCACUAAAAUGAUUUAAUUUUUCAAUACCAUGACUUGGCACUACAGUUUUGCCAGCCUGUUUAGAAUUUAUUUUUAAGGUCAUUAUAAAACAAACUGCAUUUCUGCCUCUUACAGCUUUUUUGUGGUGUUUUGUUUUG